Molecule: long non-coding RNA, 576 nt
Organism: Gadus macrocephalus (Pacific cod)
Lineage: Eukaryota; Metazoa; Chordata; Actinopteri; Gadiformes; Gadidae
Exons: 2
Source: RefSeq, a predicted model, not a curated record
GUGGCUGGAAUGACAGUGAUAGGAGAGCAGAGUGUAUAUGGUUACUUUAAAAGGCCUUGGUUUUAAAAUGUAUUAAGAAAACAAUUACAGUAACCACAGAGAAUACUGACAAAAAUUGAAUUUUGUAUUGAUCAUUAUGAUAACAGGCAUAAUACUAAUCCUUAACACUAAGCGAUACUUUGAAUAAAAGUCAGUAGAUGGGACACUCCCUUCAGAGCUACAACCUCAACAAAAAUGAUGGAUAAUAUAUGGCCAACAUUUUUAUAUGUUUAUGUUAGGACAGUUUAACCUGUAUUAUAUACAGUCUGUUAGGUCAGUUGAGCCUGUAUUAUAUGCAGUCUUUGUUAAAUCAGUUUAAUCUGUAUUAUAUACAGUCUUUGUUAAUUCAGUUUAACCUCUAUUAUAUACGGUCUAUGUUAACCUGUUUUAUAUUGUCUAUGUGCGUUGCACCCACACCGAGCUCCACUGAAACAGCUUUUGACUGGCAUUUUACAGGUGAAAAGCUAGCGGGAUAUACUUCUGAACAUCCAUCAAAAAUGUCCCCUAUGUAUUAAAUACAUUGGGUACAUCUCCUGA